This is a long non-coding RNA of Passer domesticus (house sparrow), 5646 nucleotides long. RefSeq lists it as uncharacterized. NCBI's taxonomy places the organism in Eukaryota, Metazoa, Chordata, Aves, Passeriformes, Passeridae. The transcript has 3 exons. The record is from RefSeq and is a predicted model, not a curated record.
CAGAGCAGCCCCUGGUGUUCUUUUUGUCAUGAUUACCAGCACUGUGGUAGCACCCACAGCAGUGCAUGGUGCUGAAGUUACACACAGCAGGUGCCUAUCAGUGGGCAUCCCUCAGCAGUGCAAUUCUAUUGCUGGACAAACACAAAAAACCCAACCUAGGGAUUUUCGGGGUAAUGGGAGACAGAGCCUUUGGUGGUGCUGAACUGGGUCCUAACAUGAGGCAAGAUGCAAAGACAGCUCCACGGAGGAAACGAAGGGGGCGGAGGAGAAAGGGAGGAGCGCUCCAGACGUGCUGUAAUAUAAACCAACAGCACACCCGCCCUGAUGGCUGCCAGUCUGGGCGCUUUUCAGACACACCUGGUAAUGGAGGUAAAACCCAGAAGCCCAGGCAGACCGAGAGCCCACCACAGGGUGACCCAUCUCUUAUGUGGCUCAGUAGCUCUGCAGCCUCUGCUCACCCCAGUGCACGUGAAGAGGACACUUGCAAAGAACUUGCAGUUAUCCACUGGCUCCUGGAGCAGCUUUGGAUGCUAACAGAGAGCUAAACAGCCUUGAGCAUCCCUCAUGCCUGUGAGUGACUGGCUCCAAGGUAAUCAUUUUGUGGAUGUGUGAGUUUUAGUUCACACCAUCUAGUACAGGUGCCCAGGAGGGGCUGUAGGACAUGUGCAACAGCCCUUCACAGACCCUUUUGUCAGAUAUUAAUGGGUUACCAUGGCCCUGGCUUCCAGGUCUCCAUUCAGUUCACACUCUCAGGCAGUGUGAGUUGUGCACCUCUACCACUAGUAACACUGGAGCAGCUGGCCACUUCUCUAUCACAAAUAUACACUUGUUUUUAUAGCAAAGAGAUUGAGCCUACUUCCAUCCUAGUAUGAAAUGAAAAAUACUCACCAUUUUUCUUUUUUCAGUCUUGCCUCUGGCCUCUCCACCAGCAUUAUAUGGCAAUAAGGACCUAGCUUCAGUCCUCUGAAAUGUCUUCUGCAUCCCAAGAAUGUGCUGCCCUUCUCCCCUGUCCCCAAAACAUUAUCUUCUUUUUUUUAAAUUGUGAGUUAGAGUGAGGCCCUGGGAGAGACAGGCAGCCUGGGAAGGCUCAAGGCUCUUCUUUUCCAUAUUUUUCAUGGGGCUGAGGACAUCUACAGUCCUAGCCUGGCCCCAGGCUAGGGGCCAAAAAAAUAAGAUGGGUGGAGAGCCUGGCUAACACCUGCUGCAACCCUACCAUGUCUGGCAGGUGUUGGGAGAGGCUUGGGAGGCCAGACACCCUCUCCAUGAUGGAAUGGGGUUACAAGAUCCCAUGUCAAAUGAAGCUGUGGCUAAUGCAAGCUCUGUCUGGGGCUGCUGUAUUGAAGCUGCAUUGAGCAGUGAGCUCCUGGUGCCACUGAAGCACUCUGCCUUUCCCAAACUUCCUGGGAAGUGUUUUGAACUUUAUUUUUAAAAGUGCAAUUAAUCACAGAGCAGGGCUUGAAAUGAGUCCAAGUGCAAUAAAAGCAGCAGAGCCUGCUCAGCCCAGUGAGCAUUGUUCACCACGGCCUGACUUCAGGCAUCAGGAAACUUCCAGAUGUAACUUUGCCGCUCCUGGCUCCUGCAGGAAUCUUAAAUGCUUCCAUCUGUACAGGGGAAAGACUUCGGAAAAGCAGUUCUCCCUCUCCUUUUACUUACAUUCCUCCAAGCAGCAAGCGUUAUUAUCCCACAGCCUCUGCAAUUUCUGCUGGCUUCACCCUCAUUGAUGGAAUACUGCACCCCGCCAUUCCUUGCUGCUCCCACCCCCUGGCAGGGAGCAUCCUGACGGAGCCCCUCCAUGGGGCGAGGACAGGCCCCUCCAUCUGCUCCUGUUCUGCCUGUGGUUUACAGUACGCUACAGGAAGGCAUUUUCUCACGCUAUUAAGUUUUCACUAGAUGUGGAGGGGGAUCAGGAAUGCCUCGGAUGGCGUAAAAAUUCCCUUCUUGGUUUGGUUAUUAGGAUCUAGAGGCAGCAGCAGGCAAAAUUAUAGCCUGCAUGAAAUCUGAGUCUGCUGCUCUGCCCUGGGUGAGGAGUGCACCCCGUCCCCAUUCCAGGUACACUCAGAACCUCCUGGGCCAGCCCCAGAGCCUCUUCAGUUCCUCCUCAGGCCUCCAAACGCAAGAGUAGCUUGUACCUAUGCAAGCUCCCUGUUUAUGCCCACAGUCUGAGGGUCAGGCAUCUUUCUGGCUAAAAGGCCCCAAAAUAGCACUUCCAGCUUAGCUGCUGCCCUGGGGAAGUUGUCAUUCACUCUGUCUGCUGUUUUCUUUCCAAGAAGAGGCUGCUCUUUGCUGCAAGUUUAUCACCUUUUCCUCUUUCCCAAAUACUUCUAAGUAACAGCCCCAUGCACUAGCUCUGUAGAUGCUCCUAAUCAUCCCAGUUACAUUUAGCACUUACAGAGCUCCAUGCUUGGUGCUCUGUGAAGCAUUAAAACUAUCUCACAAAUGUAAAUUAAUUGAUUUUUUUCACUCUCAGAGGAUGGAGGUGAGCAGGGGCUACACUACUUUUGCAGAUGAGGAGGCUGACACAGGAGAGGUCCGUGGCUUAGCACAGGGCCACACAAGGGGUGAGUUAGAUCAGAAAGCUCUGGCUCAGAAACUGUGCUCAAACCACCAAACAUCAGGGCAGAGGAAAAUGGGAAGGAGCAGGUCCAAACCAGAAGUGAGCAGUGCCCAGGACUAUAAAUAGUUUCAUCUGACACAGCUUUUGUGAAGUUCGUGUAAAACGCAGAAAAGGCUGGUGUUGCCCUGGGGUUUAUGGCUUGUUUCUUUCCAAAACCUCACAGAUCACUCAGCCCCCCAGUACCCAGAGGAGUCCUGGAAAUGAAAGCCCAGUGAAGCAGUUUGUGACCACACAAACCUUGUCUGUGGCCAGGGCUUUGGGUGCUAUCACAACAAAAGCAGUAACAAAGUACAGCUGCUCUGAAGCAAACCUGCACACGAGCCUUGGAAGAGUGGAGCAGUGAGUGAGAAACAAGGAGGAGCAGGGGAGAGAGGAACGGAGAUGCUUGACAAGUGGAGCUCUGGUAAUCCAGGAUCUCUGGGGAAAGCUAAAAUGCAGUACUGUUUACCUGACUGCAGUAUGACUGAUGUGUUUGCACCCAAACGCAGAGCGGAUGUGUUCAGAGAUGUAGCUGCCUGCCCUGUGCUCCUGGCUGGGAACAAACCAAAGCCCUGCUGUUUGGAGAGGGGGGAAUGUGACUCAGCAUGGAGGAGCUCCAGCCAUCCUGCCAGCAUGCCAGAGCUGCUGUCCUCAGGCUGUACGUGCCCCCAGGCCAUGUCUUCUGAGAGGAGGGAUGUUUUCAUAGACACUGUGCCAGAGCAGAGGCAGGAUGCAGAGACACACAAGUUACUCAUCCUGGCUUAAACCCCACAGGAUGUCUCAAGUGACUGAACCCUAGGCUGAAAUAGAGACUUAAACUAUCAGUUUGUGGAUUUUGGCAAUAAGUCAUUGUCUGCAGGGAGGGCCAGCAUGGGAUGACCAAGUAGAUAACCCCAAAUGACAGCAGAAAAAGCUGCCAGAUGGAGUUGUCUGUUCCUCAGGGAUUUUGGCAUCACUAGCGGCUGUCAAUGCCCAAGCCCUAUUAUGGCAAUAUCAGAGCAGAGAAAUUGUGGUCACAGGAGGAACAAUGCUUAUUUUUCGCUCAUCUGUGCUGGGUGAUUUUUGUAGCUGUUGAUAAAAUUUUGAAAUCAAGAAGUUUCUGUCUUCUCCAUUUUUCUGCCAGUGCAGCUUCUGUUUCUGAGAACAGUCCCCAGAUGGGGAGCAGUGGAAAUGAGAUGUGAAAUGAGAAUUCGGAUUUCACAUUAGAAUCAGAAAUUAGGAACAACAGUUAGCUCACCUCUCCACUUUCUAUGCAGGACAAAUUAAUUCCCUCAAAUUUUCAAUGCUUUCAGUGUUAUUUGCUUAAUCUGAUGGAACAGAUCUUUUAUUAGGAAAUUAAAAUGUUGUAGCAUGAUUCAUCAGGAAGCAGAUAAAAUAUAUUUAAGGAACUAUGUUAAAUUAUGAUAUGUCUAAACAUGUGUAAUAAAGCAAGGAUUUUCAUAUCCAAUUUAUACAGAAGAUUGUAAGAGAUUUAUUGGACCAGACAUUCUAAUGCAUGUUAAUUUUGGGUGUAAUAACAGAAAUGCAAAACAAACUGGAAGACAACACCUGUGACAGUUGUGACAUAGUGGAAAUAAUUCAACACCACCCGUUAAAGCUGAACAAAGAGAAAGGAAACUGAGAAGUCAGGAAGAUGAUACCACAGAAGAAGAGAAUGAGCUGUUGCUCCUCCAGAAUCAGACAUGGUUUCUGUCUUUGCCAUUUCCUAGCUCAUUACCCCUAGAACAGACUCCAGCUGUAGUGCAUUGACUGAGCAGAGUCAGCCAUCCUCAGCUACCUUCUCAUCAAGUCUUUCCCUAGAAACAAAAUCAAAACCACUUGUGAUAGCUCUGUUAACUGCCAGCAAUCUGCUGACUGGGUUUGGAAGCCAUCACCCUCACCUUCCAGGUUGUAAGAUUUUCCUCACUUGUUUGCCCUUUUCCUUGGAUUCUUGCUCUGGUUUCACCCAUAUAUCCAACAGUAUCACAGACAGCAGUAUCUCCACAGUUGCACAGACUGCUGUCCCAAGGGGGCUCACUAAUAUCUGUGUAGAGUAGGCAGGAUUAUGAUGUUUUGAAUGCUUUCUAGUGCUGGUUUUAUUUACAGUGCUCCUCGUUUCAAGGAUUACUUGUGAUUUCUUGUGACUGAUAGUGUUACAGAUGUUGCACUGGAGCUGUGAUGGCAGCUGGAGUGCACAAUGUGAGAACUGAAAUUCUGUUUAAAGCUCCUGUAGUAACCCAGGAAAAUAAUAUUCAUUUGUCUCCCAUUCCAUUCAAAUACACAUGUGUGGACACUAUGGCCAGAUGGCAGCCUGUACAACAUUUAUUUCUGCAGCUCUCUGAGAUACUUUACAGGAGAUUUUCUUUAGGAUCCACAUUGAAUGGUAUUGCUAUACUAAACUUGUUCAGCUGGCCUGAUUCACUCCGGUGAGAUAUGUAUAAGGGUAUGUUUCAAACAUUUUUUCAUGGGAAGAAAAAAAAUAAAAAAGAAAAAUACAUCCUAGCUUAUUGCUGCAUUCUGCAAAGGUCUGUUCUCUUCACCAGGGUUUAUUUUGGCAGACCAGAGUGCACAGAUCUGCCUGUGGGUGUCAUUUCCAAGCAUGUUUGCUGUUGAAAUGAUCGCAUCUGAUCCCUUCCUAUGCAGAAGGCUGGUUCCCAUGAUCUUUUCAGAAGUGGGAGAGAAAUAAAAAUGUGAUUCAAACACCACAGUGCCUUGUAUAAAGGUACCCUAUGGCCACGCUUCAGGACAUGUCUCUGCCUGCAUGGGGUCAAAUAGAAUGACAUGCAUAAAAAUCUGGCCCUCAUUCUCUCUAGGUUAUAAACCCACAAAACCUGGUUCAAGCUUAGAAAAUCUUUUGUUAUCUCUGUUCCAGGGGAUGGUUCCUGUGGAUUAUUGAGCAAUUCAGUUGCUCAGGAAGCCUAACAAAGUGCUAGAGCCCCUCAGCCCUGAGGUACCUGUGCAAAGGGUCCUUCACCUGCUCAGCCACUCCCUGCUGUGAGAUGACAAGUGCUCUGCUAUUGCCUGAGCUCCUUCUCAUUAAGGACUGUCAUAGGCAUGUGUUUGUUUGCCCAAAC